Molecule: ribosomal RNA, 253 nt
Filed under: Leyella stercorea DSM 18206
Lineage: Bacteria; Pseudomonadati; Bacteroidota; Bacteroidia; Bacteroidales; Prevotellaceae
Description: Prevotella stercorea DSM 18206 partial 16S ribosomal RNA
Rfam family: Bacterial small subunit ribosomal RNA
Source: RNAcentral
UACGGAAGGUCCGGGCGUUAUCUGGAUUUAUUGGGUUUAAAGGGAGCGUAGGCCGUCUGUUAAGCGUGUUGUGAAAUGUCGGGGCUCAACCUGGGCAUUGCAGCGCGAACUGGCAGACUUGAGUGUACAGGAAGUAGGCGGAAUUCGUCGUGUAGCGGUGAAAUGCUUAGAUAUGACGAAGAACUCCGAUUGCGAAGGCAGCCUGCUGUAGUGCAACUGACGCUGAAGCUCGAAAGCGUGGGUAUCGAACAGG